GCCGGGCACUGUGGGACACGCCUGUAAUCCCAGUGGCUUGGGAGGCUAAGGCAGGAGGAUUGUGAGUUCAAAGCCUGCCUCAGCAAAGGAAGGCUCUUGACAACUUAAUGAGAUCCUGCCUCUA
RNAcentral lists this small RNA (124 nucleotides) under Marmota monax (woodchuck). Lineage: Eukaryota; Metazoa; Chordata; Mammalia; Rodentia; Sciuridae. The record is from RNAcentral.